UCUCUUAUUGGUAAUUCAAUCAAACAUUUUGCAUUUUACACAUUCAAAUUGAAGCGAACGUACUCAAGAGAUCAGUAAACCAAAAGUCAAUCCAACGUAUAAAGAUGAACAAGGCCAAAUUAUAGGUCAAAUCCAACAUUCAAAUGUCCAACAUAAAGAUCAAUAAAACCAAGUUUGUUCGAAACACAAGCAAGCAAGUAUACGUACGCACAUAGGAGAGAGCAUCAAAGAAUAUAAUUUAGAGAUCUUUGUAUCAUACCCAUGUACCUCACAUGAACGAAUGAGUUAUACGACAUCCAUAUACAAACACAUACACCAGUGCAAUUGAGAUAUAUAGUUGUAAAAGCCUCACAUAAGCCACUUUUGCUUUUAAGCCCGUGGGUGAUCAUUUUUGCAUUGAGAAGGCAAAAUAUAUUUCAUGAAAAGGAAUGAAGUUUUGAUAUAAAUCAGAAAGCAGAAAGCAGAAAGCAGAAAGUAGGGUUGCCAUCCCAUGUUCAAAAAAACCCAAAAUCAUUACAAAGAAAGUGGCUUUUGUA
Molecule: long non-coding RNA, 536 nt
Filed under: Cucumis sativus (cucumber)
Lineage: Eukaryota; Viridiplantae; Streptophyta; Magnoliopsida; Cucurbitales; Cucurbitaceae
Description: long non-coding RNA (CSAT_LNC001274)
Source: RNAcentral